CUGCCUCCAUUUAGCCAUCAAGAAGAAGCAAGAGGGAUGGCAUGUGCUCUGCCUGUGUCUAGAAGAUGCCGACUCUACUUGCACCCUAUUGACAGUCAUCGUCGUGGGUUGUCAGUAACUGAAAGAGGGUGGCCCAGCAGGGAUUCCCUUAUGACUGGAGUCAGAGUUUGCACAGACUCCUAAGAGG
RNAcentral lists this long non-coding RNA (187 nucleotides) under Mus spicilegus (steppe mouse). RNAcentral describes it as "lncRNA (ENSMSIG00000006764.1)". Lineage: Eukaryota; Metazoa; Chordata; Mammalia; Rodentia; Muridae. The record is from RNAcentral.